UCCUUGGUGGUCCAGUGGCUAGGACUUGGCACUUUCACUGUCAAGGGCACAGGUUCAAUCCCUGAUCAGGGAA
This is a non-coding RNA of Cervus elaphus (red deer), 73 nucleotides long. The record is from the annotation of a RefSeq genome assembly. NCBI's taxonomy places the organism in Eukaryota, Metazoa, Chordata, Mammalia, Artiodactyla, Cervidae.